This 1457-nucleotide ribosomal RNA is filed under the name uncultured Chloroflexota bacterium. RNAcentral's name for it is "bacterial SSU rRNA". It matches the Rfam family "Bacterial small subunit ribosomal RNA". The record is from RNAcentral. Lineage: Bacteria; Bacillati; Chloroflexota.
AGAGUUUGAUCCUGGCUCAGGAUGAACGCUGGCGGCGUGCCUGAUACAUGCAAGUCGAACGGUCGUAGCAAUACGAUAGUGGCGUCCGGGUGCGUAACACGUAGCUGAUUUGCCCGUUAGCGGGGGAUAACGUCCCGAAAGGGACGCUAAUACCGCGUAAGCUCUGGGGGUUUAGAAACCUCAGAGGAAAGCCUUCGGGCGCUGACGGAGAAGGCUGCGGUCCAUCAGGUAGUUGGUGAGGUAACGGCUCACCAAGCCGACGACGGAUAGGGGACCUGAGAGGGUGACCCCCCACACUGGAACUGACACACGGUCCAGACUCCUACGGGAGGCAGCAGUAAGGGAUAUUGCACAAUGGGCGCAAGCCUGAUGCAGCAACGCCGCGUGCGGGAAGAAGGUCUUCGGAUCGUAAACCGCUUUUAUCGAGGAAGAGAACGGACGGUACUCGAUGAAUCAGUCUCGGCUAACUACGUGCCAGCAGCCGCGGUAAAACGUAGGAGGCAAGCGUUAUCCGGAUUUACUGGGCGUAAAGCGUGUGCAGGCGGUUUAUUAAGUCAUGUGUGAAAGCGCUCCGCUUAACGGGGCGAGGCCAUGUGAGACUGAUAGACUUGAAUCAGACAGAGGCAAGCGGAAUUCCGGGUGUAGUGGUGAAAUGCGUAGAGAUCCGGAGGAACACCAGAGGCGCAGGCGGCUUGCUGGGUCUGUAUUGACGCUCAGACACGAAAGCAUGGGGAGCGAACGGGAUUAGAAACCCCGGUAGUCCAUGCCGUAAACGAUGUGAACUAGGCGUUAGGGGCUUACGCCCUUAGUGCCGCAGCCACCGCGCGAAGUUCACCGCCUGGGGGAGUACGACCGCAAGGUUAAAACUCAAAGGAAUUGACGGGGGCCCGCACAAGCAGCGGAGCGUGUGGUUUAAUUCGAGGCUACACGAAGAACCUUACCCGGAUUAGACAUCCUGGUGGUAGUGAACCGAAAGGGGAACGACCCGCAAGGGAGCCAGGACAGGUGCUGCAUGGCUGUCGUCAGCUCGUGUCGUGAGAUGUUCGGUUAAGUCCGGUAACGAGCGCAACCCUCGGCAGUAGUUACAGGUGUCUACUGCAACUGCCCGGUGAAACUGGGAGGAAGGUGGGGAUGACGUCAAGUCAGCAUGGCCUUUAUAUCCGGGGCUACACACACGCUACAAUGGUCGGUACAGUGGGUUGCCAAGGCGCGAGCCGGAGCCAAUCCUGAAAAGCCGAUCUCAGUUCGGAUUGCAGGCUGCAACUCGCCUGCAUGAAGUUGGAGUUGCUAGUAAACGCGCAUCAGCCAUGGCGCGUUGAAUACGUUCCCGGGCCUUGUACACACCGCCCGUCACGUCAUGGGAGCUGGUCACGCCUGAAGCCGGUGGGCCAACCGCAAGGAGGCAGCCGUCAAAGGCAGGGCGGGUGACUGGGACGAAGUCGUAACAAGGUAGCCGU